This 412-nucleotide ribosomal RNA is filed under the name uncultured bacterium. Its description in RNAcentral is "bacterial SSU rRNA". It matches the Rfam family "Bacterial small subunit ribosomal RNA", at positions 362 to 772 of the family's 1533-position model. The record is from RNAcentral.
UUUUGGACAAUGGGCGAAAGCCUGAUCCAGCAAUGCCGCGUGUGUGAAGAAGGCCUUCGGGUUGUAAACCUCUUUUGCCGGGGAGCAAGAGGCGCCACGCGUGGCGCCGUGAGAGUACCCGGAGAAAAAGCAUCGGCUAACUACGUGCCAGCAGCCGCGGUAAUACGUAGGGUGCAAGCGUUAAUCGGAAUUACUGGGCGUAAAGCGUGCGCAGGCGGUCCGCUAAGACAGAUGUGAAAUCCCCGGGCUUAACCUGGGAACUGCAUUUGUGACUGGCGGGCUAGAGUAUGGCAGAGGGGGGUAGAAUUCCACGUGUAGCAGUGAAAUGCGUAGAGAUGUGGAGGAAUACCGAUGGCGAAGGCAGCCCCCUGGGCCAAUACUGACGCUCAUGCACGAAAGCGUGGGGAGCAAA